UACGAAAGGGGCUAGCGUUGUUCGGAAUUACUGGGCGUAAAGCGCACGUAGGCGGCCUUGUAAGAUGGGGGUGAAAUCCCCGGGCUCAACCCCGGAACUGCCUUCAUGACUGUAAAGCUUGAGGAUGGGAGAGGUUAGUGGAAUUCCUAGUGUAGAGGUGAAAUUCGUAGAUAUUCGGAAGAACACCAGUGGCGAAGGCGGCUAACUGGCCCGGUUCUGACGCUCAUGUGCGAAAGCGUGGGGAGCAAACAGG
This 253-nucleotide ribosomal RNA is filed under the name uncultured bacterium. RNAcentral's name for it is "partial 16S ribosomal RNA". It matches the Rfam family "Bacterial small subunit ribosomal RNA", at positions 524 to 776 of the family's 1533-position model. The record is from RNAcentral.